CGCGCGCAGUGUAUGAGCCUGAGAAUGAGACAGGGCCAGCGCGGGGUGCGUGAGAGUGUCACCGCGCAUGCGCGAUGUAAAAAUAGAAGAACCCGCUGAUGUGAUCUGUAUGAGAUCUGGUGCGAUGCAGCGUAGAUCAAGUGGAGCUUCAGUGAUUCUUUGCAACCUAGUGUGUGUGUAUGCAUGUAUGUGGAGAGAAGGUCAAAAGCCUGAACCAUGAAGAUGAUAGUGGAUGUCGUGUGGAUGGUGUGGGGCAUCGGGGCGUCUGUGUACGAUUACUUCCACACCAGCGCCAUGGAGGAGAGGAUCCACACCCUAGAGAAUAUCCUUAACAUCCACCAGUUCGUCAUCGUGUUCCUCACGGCGAGCCUCGUCCUUCUCAUCUCGUACAUCGUCUUUAAGAAGAAAUGACACACCAGAGCCCGGGCUGUGAGUUUCGGAGAACCAUGAGAUCGACACAGCAGUCCUCAGUGUGUGAGAACGACUGAUGCAUUGAAAGACGAUUAACUUUUUUUUUUUUUUGGUCAGAUUAUCUGACAGGUUUUGAAAGUUUACAAUAUUAACUGUUUUUUUAUAUAUAUAUCUAAACAAAUGUGUCAUUUCUAACACACGUUUCUACACAGACAGUUUCUCUUGUCAUGUCCUGUGGAAUUAUGAAUUAUGAAACAUAACUGUGAGCUCAUGUCUGCACUUUACACCCGAUCACCAGAAUUGUGAUUGUAAAUUUUUGUGAUUGUCAUUAUUGACAGAGUAAAAUGUAACCUACUGACGACAACUAAUCAAUAAUAUUAAACAGUAUGUUUAACAGACACUAAGCCUCUGGAGAUCUCAAGGAUUCCUCAGUGCUCAGUGCUCGCUGAAGUGAAGUGCUCUCACAUCACUAGCACUGCUCUAUUAUGAAUCAGGAAAUACAGAUUGUUGACAUGUGUCAGUACACUAGGCUUAUGUCAUACAUGUGACAUCCCAUGAUGCUUUGUAUGGAUAGAAGUCAGUGAGCACUGUACCAGCAUUUGGUAUUGAUGCAACACUAAUGAUUAUGUGAAUUUUGCAUCGAAUAUAAACUCUUAUAUUUGAUCUUUCAUUUGAAUAAAUACACAAACUCAAUAGACUUCA
This is a long non-coding RNA of Silurus meridionalis, 1113 nucleotides long. RefSeq lists it as uncharacterized. Lineage: Eukaryota; Metazoa; Chordata; Actinopteri; Siluriformes; Siluridae. The record is from RefSeq and is a predicted model, not a curated record. The transcript has 2 exons.